UUUCAUAGUGUUGCACGUUUUGAUUUCUCCUGGAGAGGCUGCGUGAGCCUCGCCUCAGCAAUAGAUGCAUAAUAUACAGUCUAUGUGCUGGGGCUCAGCCCCGGACGGCUCCGGCCCAAUUUAAACCCUGUGUAUGGGGAACAGGAGUUUAGGGUCAGAUACAUACAAACACGUGUUUUGUAUUUCCAUCUGUAUUCUCAAGGCUUUGCUAAGGUAAAGAGUGUUUGCAUUCCUCAGGAUUGUGGUUUUAGAAAGCAUGAGCCCCUCCUCAGACAGCUGGGUUCAAUAUAAGCACAGUUGGAUUGUGGGUAAAGGGAUUCACAUGCAGUAUGUUUCCCAUAUAGUUCAGUAACAUCAGUGAUUUUCAUCCAUUAAUUCCAUAGUUUCACACUGACCCAAAAUUGUUAACUGAUGCAUCCUUUUUAGUGUGAUACAUUUUUUAACAUUUAUUUUAACAAAUCUGGUUCUAGACUUCUAUCACUCAGUUUGCUGUUCUAUUUUGUUUUGGCUAUAAUUGUACCCAUAAUUUGAUGUUGUUCCCUAGUGUCAUGGUUUAAUUAGGUCAGCAUAUUAGUUAAUACACAUUAACAGUAUUAUUACUAUUAUGCCAGAAAAUAUGAAUAACUCUGUGAUCUGUGUCCUUCAGACUAAAAUGGUUCGUGCUCAAUAUGCUUUGAUCAUCUCAUAUGCACAAUUCAGGGUUCCCAGUCAUGGAAAUCUGGGAAUAUCACAGAAGUGUAAAAUUGUGGCUUUCCAGCCUGGAGCAUUCACAGAAAUUAAUAAAAAGUAAUGAAAAUGUCCAUUCUCUAUACAUUUUUAGAUUUGCUCAGCCCUAAAAUAUUUCAGUGACUGGAAAUUGCUCUUCAUGAGCUAAAAUCCUUAAAAAAAAACAUGGUAAUGGAA
Molecule: long non-coding RNA, 903 nt
Organism: Sinocyclocheilus grahami
Lineage: Eukaryota; Metazoa; Chordata; Actinopteri; Cypriniformes; Cyprinidae
Exons: 2
Source: RefSeq, a predicted model, not a curated record